UACAGAGGGUGCAAGCGUUAAUCGGAAUUACUGGGCGUAAAGCGUGCGUAGGUGGGUUGAUGUGUUGGCUGUUAAAGCCCCGAGCUUAACUUGGGAAGGUCAGCCAAAACUGUCAGCCUAGAGUAUGGUAGAGGAGAGUGGAAUUUCCGGUGUAGCGGUGAAAUGCGUAGAUAUCGGAAGGAACAUCAGUGGCGAAGGCGACUCUCUGGACUAAUACUGACACUGAGGCACGAAAGCGUGGGGAGCAAACAGG
RNAcentral lists this ribosomal RNA (253 nucleotides) under uncultured bacterium. RNAcentral's name for it is "partial 16S ribosomal RNA". It matches the Rfam family "Bacterial small subunit ribosomal RNA", at positions 524 to 776 of the family's 1533-position model. The record is from RNAcentral.